Pangasianodon hypophthalmus (striped catfish) is the source of this 659-nucleotide long non-coding RNA. RefSeq lists it as uncharacterized. The transcript is spliced from 3 exons. The record is from RefSeq and is a predicted model, not a curated record. NCBI's taxonomy places the organism in Eukaryota, Metazoa, Chordata, Actinopteri, Siluriformes, Pangasiidae.
GUCUGGGCAGAUGAAAUUUGGCGGAUGAACAUCAGUACACCGCACAUUCUGCGCAGCUGAUUAUAUAGGUAUCAACUUACAGUGUUAUGCGCAGUAAUUGCGCUAUACUGAUGUUCAUAAAUGCGCAACCUUUCAAAGUUUAAACCUUAACGCUUAACCAAUUCAGACGUCGCAUAGUUUAUUUAAUCACACUUUAUAGCUGUUAAAACAUGGACUUUGGCGUUUUGUCAUUUAUCUAAUUAUUUGUAUGUUUUGUUUAUUUCUUUAUGCUUGUAUAUUAUUCUUUAUUUGUAGCCUACCCGGUGUUGAUUUGUUUGUAUUGUUUAUAGUAUAUAGUGAGAAAUGGUGAGAAGCAGGAUUAACCAAUCAGGAUCAGACAUUUUCCCUGCUUCUGUUUGAAAACUACUAGCCUGCUAGCUAGACUCUGAGUUAGCUGGCUAGCUUGUUGCUAAUAGAAGACGAACACGGAGGGGGCCAUUUUUCCCACUUUGUAGCUCUAAAGCAUGAAGAUCAAAAACGACAUCAUUCCGAACUCCAACUUCCCACUUCAGAGAGACAGCCUGAGACAAGCUCGAGAUGUACACUGAAGAUUAUACUGGAGAGGAGAGCCGGGAAUGGAGGAUACGCUAAACUGAGAGGGGACACGAAGAGAGAAAGAG